GGAGGAUCCGAGCGUUAUCCGGAUUUAUUGGGUUUAAAGGGAGCGUAGAUGGAUGUUUAAGUCAGUUGUGAAAGUUUGCGGCUCAACCGUAAAAUUGCAGUUGAUACUGGAUAUCUUGAGUGCAGUUGAGGCAGGCGGAAUUCGUGGUGUAGCGGUGAAAUGCUUAGAUAUCACGAAGAACUCCGAUUGCGAAGGCAGCCUGCUAAGCUGCAACUGACAUUGAGGCUCGAAAGUGUGGGUAUCAAACAGGAUUAGAUACCCUGGUAGUCCACACGGUAAACGAUGAAUACUCGCUGUUUGCGAUAUACUGCAAGCGGCCAAGCGAAAGCGUUAAGUAUUCCACCUGGGGAGU
This 352-nucleotide ribosomal RNA is filed under the name uncultured bacterium. RNAcentral describes it as "bacterial SSU rRNA". It matches the Rfam family "Bacterial small subunit ribosomal RNA", at positions 527 to 881 of the family's 1533-position model. The record is from RNAcentral.